GACGAAGGUGGCAAGCAUUGCUCGGAAUCACUGGGCAUAAAGCGCGCGUAGGUGGCCUGAUAAGUCAGUGGUGAAAUCCCAUGGCUCAACCAUGGAACUGCCGCUGAUACUGUCGAGCUUGAGGACGGUAGGGGAGAGUGGAACUCCUGGUGUAGCGGUGAAAUGCGUAGAUAUCAGGAGGAACGCCGGUGGCGAAAGCGACUCUCUGGGCCGCUCCUGACACUGAGGCACGAAAGCUAGGGGAGCAAACAGG
RNAcentral lists this ribosomal RNA (253 nucleotides) under uncultured bacterium. Its description in RNAcentral is "partial 16S ribosomal RNA". It matches the Rfam family "Bacterial small subunit ribosomal RNA", at positions 524 to 776 of the family's 1533-position model. The record is from RNAcentral.